UACGGAGGGUGCAAGCGUUAUCCGGAUUCACUGGGUUUAAAGGGUUCGUAGGCGGACAGGUAAGUCAGUGGUGAAAUCUCCGAGCUUAACUCGGAAACUGCCUUUGAUACUCUCUGUCUUGAAUAUGGUGGAGGUAAGCGGAAUAUGUCAUGUAGCGGUGAAAUGCUUAGAGAUGACAUAGAACACCUAUUGCGAAGGCAGCUUACUACGCCUAUAUUGACGCUGAGGCACGAAAGCGUGGGGAUCAAACAGG
Molecule: ribosomal RNA, 253 nt
Filed under: uncultured bacterium
Lineage: Bacteria
Description: partial 16S ribosomal RNA
Rfam family: Bacterial small subunit ribosomal RNA
Source: RNAcentral